AACGAACGCUGGCGGUGCGUUUUAAGCAUGCAAGUCGAACGGGAUAAUAGUGCUUGCACUAUUUGAGAGUGGCGAACGGGUGAGUAACACGUGGAUAAUCUGCCGAGAAGUUGGGGAUAGCCUUCAGAGAUGGAGGGUAAUACCGAAUAAUGUUUUCUUACAAAAGUAAGGGAAAGAAAG
RNAcentral lists this ribosomal RNA (180 nucleotides) under bacterium. Its description in RNAcentral is "partial 16S rRNA". It matches the Rfam family "Bacterial small subunit ribosomal RNA", at positions 29 to 206 of the family's 1533-position model. The record is from RNAcentral.